CAUGCUGUGGGCAGGUGUCAGACACAGUGAAGAAGAUGGCAGAGGAGGCGGGUUCUGUGUGGAUCACCCAUAGCCAACACAUCGGCUCAGACUCCACAUCCCGCCCUUUUUUUUCCUGGUAAUGCAGACGCCAUCUUGUGUAGGGGAAUGUUAUGAGUUGAAUUGUGUCUUCCAAAAAGAAAUGUUGGAAGUCCUGGCCCAGGUCCUGCAGGAAAUGACCUUAUUUGGGGACAGAGUUGCUGCAGAUGUAAUUAGUUGAGAGCAUAAUGCACAAGAGUGGGACCUUCAUCCAGUAAGACUGGUGUCCUUACUGAAGAAGAAGGAGGAGGAGGAGGAGGAGGAGGAGGAGGAUAAUUUGGGCACAGACACAGAGGGAAGACAGCCAUGUGAAGACAGAGGAUGUGAUAAGGGAGAUGCAGUCACUAGUCAAAGAUGACCUGGGUGCCCAGAAACUGGAAAAGGCAGGAAGGAGCCUCUCCCAGAGACUUCAGACACCAUAUGGCCCUUCCAAUAGCUUAAUCUAGAGGUCUGGCCUCCAGAACUGUGAGAUACUAAAUUUCUGUUGUUAUAAGUUUGUGGUACAGGUUGAACAUUCCUAAUCUGAAAAUCCAAAAUCUGAACUGCUUCAAAAUCCAAAAAUUUUUGAGAACCGACAUGAUAAUAUAAGUGGGAAAUUUCACACCUGACCUCCAUGUGACAGACAGCAGUCAAAACAGACACAAGUUGUAUGACUUUACCUUCAGGCCACCUGUACCCAGUAUAUAUAGGAAACAUAAAUUAAUAUAUAGACUUGGGUCCCACCCCCAAGAUAUUUCCCUAUGUACAUGCAAAUACUCCAGAAUCUGAAGCCCUUCUAGUCCCAAGCAUUUUGAAUAAGGGAUACUCAACCUGUACUUUGUGACUUCAGCCCUAGGAGGUAAAGUUACCUUUUCCUCCUACAUGUGGCCUUGGAUGACAGUCAACCCCACCCAAGCUAAAGAAAGGGGUGCUUUUCCCCUCAAUUAUCAAUUUUGAUCAUUAAAAAAUUUGAGAUGUAGGCAAGGCCUCAAUUUGGAUCCCAGCUUUAUCACUUAGUGACCCAGUGGGACUGGGGUGACUUGGUCUAAGGAAAAGCUUGCCCUGGGGGCUGUGCCUCCUUGACUCAAUUUCCAAACAUCUAGAAGUGCCUUCAGAGGGAGCAAAGGAGCAUCCCACUGUGGACAAACUGGAACUCACUGGCGACUUACAAGUGGGAACCCCUCUUGAGCACCACUUUGGAAACAUGAAGAUAACUUUAUUCUGGCCAAGGAGGAGCCGCUGGGUAUUACUGCCACACUCAAUUCCCAGGAGUGUCAGAGAUGCUCAGUCAAUAUGAUUGUUAAAUUCACUAUUUGCAAAGGAUGUGGCAUAAGGAAAGAGAGAGAAGUCCCGAGAUGCUGGCCUACCUUCCCAGUUCACUGCAAGAAGCCAGAAUCCCAACGUGAAGAACAGAGAGGAGUGUGGCCUCCCCAGUUCUUCAGUCCAACCUGGGAGGACCUGGAUUGGUUCCUUUUCUCAGGACCAGCCCCUGUGGAAAUUGUUUUAGCAGACUGUUAAGUCAUGGAUACAACUUGGCUCCUGGCCAUGCUGCACUGAGGCCAUCUCCUGAGCAUCUACCAUGUGCUUGGCUCUGUAUGAAGUACAAGCAUUCAGUGAGAACCUGACCCUGGCAAUGGUGAACCCUGGAGACCUGUGCCAGAUUCUAAGGGCACAUGGAGGAGCAUCUAAACCACAAUGGGCCCAGGAGUUAGCAGGGAAAAAGACCACACAGAGCAUCCCCAAUCUGCAGAUGAGUAAACUAAGACUCUGAGAUGUCAGUUAAGCCGCAGUAGAAGGCAGAGCGGUGAAGCUGUAACUCAGUGACUUCAAAGUCCACAUUCUUUCUGCUGCACUAGAACACCACCCCGCAGAGUUGCGUCCGUGGGCAGCGUUCCCACACGCUCCUAUGUCCAUUCUCCCAGAGCUGCACUUGUUAGUUCACUUUUCUAAGUAUAUGCUGUAUAUGAAGGAGCUGUAUUUGAUGCUGGUAUCACAGAACUGAGUGAGAGUCAAGGUAGUCUAGAGGGGCUGGGGCACAGAUCUUAACAGCUAAUUAUAGAUGUAAUUUCAAGGCAAGAAAAAGGCUAUGAAAGUAACAAACAGGACUUGGGGAUUGAGAAAAACAGCUGGACUCUUAAAACCUAGAGACCAACGAACACCUGUUCUAAAAGGUAAUGCUUAAGCCAGUAGUUAGCAGCAAUUUGGGGCAUUUGGCAGUGUCUGGAGACCUUUCUGUCAUCACAACUGGGGAGUGGGAUGCUACUGGCAUCCAGUGAGGAGAGGUUGGGGGAGCUGCCAAAUACCCACCAGAGCCCAGAACAGCCCCAGCAACACAGAACUCUCCAGCCCGGCACAUCAAUGGUGCCAAGGCUGGGGGACCUGGGUUUAGACUAAAGUGUGCAGGUGGUAAAGAAGCCAGCCCUCUAAAGGAUGGGGGAGCACUCCAGUGCAAGGAACAGCAUGAGGCAUGGCUGGAAAACCAUGCUUCAAGUUCAGGAGGAUGUGGAGGGAUGUGACAGGAGGGGCCAGACCACACACAGCCUCAGUCUUGUACAGAAGUUGCCCUUUUCAUUCCCCGUAGUGGAAAACCUUUGAAAGGUCGUAAAUGACCAAAGGACACUCUGGCUGCUCUACAGAGAAGGAGGGGGGAAGGGCCAAAAGCAGAAUCCCAGAGGCCAAAGUGCGGCCCUGAAGAAAUGAGGGUAGAUUUGACCAGCACUGAAUCUUGAGAUUCAGGUCACUCCACAGUGCUGGCUGAUACAGCCCACCAAGGGCCAGGUUAAGAGAGGGAUCAAGAACUCAGCCUCAGACUGUACAGUGUGAGCCACCCAAUGAAACUGGGCACAAAGGGUGCCGGAAAGAGCAAUCGUUUAUGCAAAGUUAUGAGCUGUAGUUUGUUCUCUGUAUAGGGCUACAUCAACUUCACCUGGUAUGGGGGCUUUCAAAGAAACACCAAUGCCCAGGCACACAGCUUAGAUCAGGUUAGCCUGAGCUCCAGGAGUAGGUCCAAAGCCUCAGUGUGCUUUAAAAGCCCCCUGGUGAUUCAAAUGCACAGUGCUAUUGACAUCCAUCUUCCAACCUUGAGAAACUGUCCCAAGGUGGAGAGCUCUGUUCAUGGCAGCCCCUAAGCGGGCUGAGAAGCCUCACCUUUGUGCAUUACCAAAGGAACUCUCUCUCUUUUGUGUCUAUUUACAAUUCUGUCUCUGCUGCUUCUGUGGGUGGCUGAAUUCUAUCUGUCAAAACAAUGAGCUGCAGGUAGUCUCGGGUGUUCUCGGUUACCUGCAGUUCCAGACCUUUGGUUCUGAGACUCUCUUGUUUAUAGCAAUGUCGGUCACCUGGUGACGCCCUGGGGCUGAUUCCUCUCUUCCAUCCUCUGAGAGACAGAAUAUUUGCAUUUUCCCUUGUGAACUUUCUUUCCAAACAACUCCUAGCACCCUGUGCCACUGUGUACUCAAAGCAGAAGAUAAAGCAAACCUGGCCUGUUCUUCAAGGUCCAGUCCAAUCUCCAUUUCCUGUUAUUAUUGGGAAACCAUCAUGUGACUUUCUUUGUACCUGGUGCUUGGGGGUACCACGAUCCAUGUGAAUGUCAUGGUCCUGGGUCUAGGGAGCUCACCGUGUAGGUCAAGGUGUCUCAACCUGAGAGCUAUUGACAGUUGACGUGGGGUAAUUAAUGCUUUGUGGUGGAGGCUGUCCUGGGCAUUGUGGGGUAAACAUCCUGGCCUCAGCACAAGAUGCUGGUUCCCAUGCCUCCCAAUGUUGCAACCAAAAUUACCUCCAGACAUUGCCAAAUGUUCCCCUAGGAGAGCAAAGUGUCCCCAUAAAGAUUUAGUGCUCAAGGGGGAAGACGACAGCAAAUAAAUACUUACUCAUAGAAAAUGCUGAUGAAGGUAAUGAACUGGCAUAAACAGGAGAGAGAUAAUUGAACUUGGCAUGAACAGAGAGAUAAGAGCUCAACUCAAGAGGCUCUGUUCCAGCCCAGAACAUAGCUGGUAUUAUCUCCUUAAUGUUGCUUCCUCUGACGGCCUUAUUGCUUUUCUCCAUCUCAUUUGAUUGUUUGCUAUGCAGCCAGGUAUAAUACUGAACAUUCACCCAGCUCUAUUUCAUUUUAUUCUCAUAACUAUCCAAUGACCACAACUGGCACCACAAAUGAUUGAAGUUGUUUUUUUUCUUUCUUGGUACUGGGGAUUGAAUUCAGUUGUGCUUUACCACUGAGCUAUAUCUCCAGCCCUAUUCUAUUUUUUUUAUUUUGAUACAGAGUCUCAGUAAGUUUCCCAGGCUGACCUCCAACUUGUGAUCCUCCUAACUCUGCCUCCCAAGUAGCUGGGGUUAUAGGCAUAGACCCCUAUGCACAACUUGUGGAUUUUAUAUAUAAGUAAAUUUCCCUUAUAAUCAAUAGCUGAGAGGUUUUUCAAGAUGGCAGAGCAGAGAAGGUCGCUUUCUUGGCUGCUCCCUGAUGUGAAGCCAAGAAAGCAGGCAGGCAGCUUCUCAGCAAAGUGGGUAAACAAACAAAAAAAGUUGGGGAGGACGACUUUACUGGAAUUUAAAACUGGACAUACAAAAGAGAUCAUGGCUCAAGAGGUUGGAUAUGAUAAAAUAAGGAAGAAAUCUCCAGCAGCACAGCCGCUGCUUAUUACAGGUGUGCAGCACCAUGCUGGGCUGAUCAUACCGUUUCUGUUUAUUGUGAUAAUUAACACUGUAGAUGUCAUAGUAAAAACUAUUUUGUUUAAUGCUGUAUGUUUUUUGCAUUGGUUGUUAUUAUUAUUUGCCUCCCC
This 4829-nucleotide long non-coding RNA is filed under the name Marmota monax (woodchuck). The record is from RNAcentral. Lineage: Eukaryota; Metazoa; Chordata; Mammalia; Rodentia; Sciuridae.